This 253-nucleotide ribosomal RNA is filed under the name uncultured bacterium. RNAcentral describes it as "partial 16S ribosomal RNA". It matches the Rfam family "Bacterial small subunit ribosomal RNA", at positions 524 to 776 of the family's 1533-position model. The record is from RNAcentral.
UACAGAGGUCUCGAGCGUUAGUCGGAUUCAUUGGGCUUAAAGCGUACGUAGGCGGAUAUGCAGGCGUCGUGUGAAAGCCCUCGGCUCAACCGAGGAAUUGCACGGCGAACCGCAUGUCUUGAGGUCGGUAGAGGCGGUCGGAACGAUAGGUGGAGUGGUGAAAUGCGUUGAUAUCUAUCGGAACGCCGAAGGUGAAGACAGGCCGCUGGGCCGAUUCUGACGCUGAGGUACGAAAGCGUGGGGAGCGAACGGG